AGGUAAUCAGAAACACCCAUGUCCACCAGAUUGUGGAUUUACAUGAAGAAAGGUUCAAUAUACAGUUUGCCUUUCUCAUAUAGAUUUACAAACCCCGAGAACCAAGGCUUGCCUCAGAGUUAAGAUUACAAAAAUGGGAAGACUUUGGAAAUUAAAGACGAUUGCAUUUAUUAUCUGCUUUGUUGUAAGAUCAAACUUUUCGAUUCAUCCUUGUACCUGGUCUGCAUUAACGGUUAAAAAUGUGUCCUCAUGCCCUGAUUCCGAAGAAGGGACACAAAAAGCAGCAAGAAUAAAAAAGUGUUUAGGAGUAGGACUGAGACAAAAUUGCACCCCAAAUCCACUAGAGUUUAAGUAUCACUGUCUUUAUAGUCUCCAAACGAGAGCAUUAGUGGAAGUAUGUGCAGUUGAAAUGGAUAUCCAUGACGCUUGUUUGGUGUAUGAUGCUGAUUUUUCAACACUGCGUCUGACUAAAAAACCGAAAUGCACCAAGGUUACAAAGCCAUGUCCAAAAAAAUUUUUAUCAACAAAUGCACAUCUCGGUG
This is a long non-coding RNA of Saccostrea cuccullata (small rock oyster), 542 nucleotides long. RefSeq lists it as uncharacterized. The record is from RefSeq and is a predicted model, not a curated record. The transcript has 5 exons. NCBI's taxonomy places the organism in Eukaryota, Metazoa, Mollusca, Bivalvia, Ostreida, Ostreidae.